RNAcentral lists this ribosomal RNA (1365 nucleotides) under metagenome. RNAcentral describes it as "bacterial SSU rRNA". It matches the Rfam family "Bacterial small subunit ribosomal RNA", at positions 127 to 1489 of the family's 1533-position model. The record is from RNAcentral.
UACCUUUCAGUGGGGGAUAACGUAGCGAAAGUUACGCUAAUACCGCAUAUUCUGUGAGCAGGAAAGCAGGGGAUCGCAAGACCUUGCGCUGAUGGAGCGGCCGAUGUCAGAUUAGCUAGUUGGUGGGGUAAAGGCUCACCAAGGCGACGAUCUGUAGCGGGUCUUAGAGGAUGAUCCGCCACACUGGAACUGAGACACGGUCCAGACUCCUACGGGAGGCAGCAGUGGGGAAUUUUGGACAAUGGGCGCAAGCCUGAUCCAGCCAUGCCGCGUGAGUGAAGAAGGCCUUCGGGUUGUAAAGCUCUUUCGGCCGGGAAAAAAUCGCUUGGGUUAAUACCCUGAGUGGAUGAUGGUACCGGAAUAAGAAGCACCGGCUAACUACGUGCCAGCAGCCGCGGUAAUACGUAGGGUGCGAGCGUUAAUCGGAAUUACUGGGCGUAAAGCGUGCGCAGGCGGUUUCGUAAGACAGGCGUGAAAUCCCCGGGCUCAACCUGGGAACUGCGUUUGUGACUGCAAGGCUAGAGUAUGGCAGAGGGGGGUGGAAUUCCACGUGUAGCAGUGAAAUGCGUAGAGAUGUGGAGGAACACCAAUGGCGAAGGCAGCCCCCUGGGCCAAUACUGACGCUCAUGCACGAAAGCGUGGGGAGCAAACAGGAUUAGAUACCCUAGUCCACGCCCUAAACGAUGUCAACUAGGUGUUGGGUGGGUAAAACCAUUUGGUACCGUAGCUAACGCGUGAAGUUGACCGCCUGGGGAGUACGGCCGCAAGGUUAAAACUCAAAGGAAUUGACGGGGACCCGCACAAGCGGUGGAUGAUGUGGAUUAAUUCGAUGCAACGCGAAAAACCUUACCUACCCUUGACAUGCCAGGAACUUGCCAGAGAUGGCUUGGUGCCCGAAAGGGAGCCUGGACACAGGUGCUGCAUGGCUGUCGUCAGCUCGUGUCGUGAGAUGUUGGGUUAAGUCCCGCAACGAGCGCAACCCUUGUCGUUAAUUGCCAUCAUUUAGUUGGGCACUUUAACGAGACUGCCGGUGACAAACCGGAGGAAGGUGGGGAUGACGUCAAGUCCUCAUGGCCCUUAUGGGUAGGGCUUCACACGUCAUACAAUGGCCGGUACAAAGGGUUGCCAAGCCGCGAGGCGGAGCCAAUCCCAGAAAGCCGAUCGUAGUCCGGAUCGCAGGCUGCAACUCGCCUGCGUGAAGUCGGAAUCGCUAGUAAUCGUGGAUCAGCAUGUCACGGUGAAUACGUUCCCGGGUCUUGUACACACCGCCCGUCACACCAUGGGAGCGGGUUCCGCCAGAAGUAGGUAGCCUAACCGCAAGGAGGGCGCUUACCACGGCGGGGUUCGUGACUGGGGUGAAGUCGU